Zingiber officinale is the source of this 331-nucleotide long non-coding RNA. RefSeq lists it as uncharacterized. NCBI's taxonomy places the organism in Eukaryota, Viridiplantae, Streptophyta, Magnoliopsida, Zingiberales, Zingiberaceae. The record is from RefSeq and is a predicted model, not a curated record. The transcript has 3 exons.
CUUGACCUAAUUUUCCUUACGGCGGCUGCGGCAAUUUUUUCACCUUCUCUGGACUGGUUUGGAUUUGACGUGGCUGGGAGAGACUUUCGGUUUUAUUUACCUUUGUUAGGCAACAUGCAGAAUGAAAGAAGUUGGAUGUAUAAUAAAAAUUUACCUGACCGUGGGGGUUUAACUGAUGAGUUUAUUACUGGGUUGAGACAGUUUUUAAAUUUUGCAUCUAGUAAUGUUGAGUUUAUGGAUGGUAAUCAGAUACGAUGUCCAUGCAGAAAGUGUCAUAAUGGAAAAUUUUUACCAUCUAAUAAAGUUUCAGAGCAUCUUUGUAGAUUUGGUU